UACGGAGGGUGCUAGCGUUGUUCGGAAUUACUGGGCGUAAAGCGCGCGUAGGCGGCUUGGCAAGUUGGAAGUGAAAUCCCGAGGCUUAACCUCGGAAUUGCUUUCAAAACUGCCAAGCUUGAGAAUGGUAGAGGAAAGUGGAAUUCCUAGUGUAGAGGUGAAAUUCGUAGAUAUUAGGAGGAACACCAGAGGCGAAAGCGACUUUCUGGGCCAUUUCUGACGCUAAGGCGCGAAAGCGUGGGGAGCAAACAGGAUUAGAACUCC
This 264-nucleotide ribosomal RNA is filed under the name uncultured bacterium. RNAcentral describes it as "partial 16S ribosomal RNA". It matches the Rfam family "Bacterial small subunit ribosomal RNA", at positions 524 to 787 of the family's 1533-position model. The record is from RNAcentral.